GACGAACGCUGGCGGCGUGCUUAACACAUGCAAGUCGAGCGGUAAGGCCCCUUCGGGGGUACACGAGCGGCGAACGGGUGAGUAACACGUGAGCAAUCUGCCCUUCACUUUGGGAUAACUCUGGGAAACGAGAGCUAAUACCGAAUACGACCACUUCAGGCAUCUGAUGGUGGUGGAAAGUUCCGGCGGUGAAGGAUGAGCUCGCGGCCUAUCAGCUAGUUGGUGGAGUAACGGCCCACCAAGGCUUCGACGGGUAGCCGGCCUGAGAGGGUGACCGGCCACACUGGGACUGAGACACGGCCCAGACUCCUACGGGAGGCAGCAGUCGAGAAUAGUCUACAAUGGUCGGAAGACUGAUAGUGCGACGCCGCGUGAACGAUGAAUCCCUUCGGGGUGUAAAGUUCUUUUAUAUGUGAGCAGUGCUUCUUAUAUUAACAGUAUGGGGAGAGAGAUAUUAGCAUAUGAAUAAGCAACGGCUAACUCCGUGCCAGCAGCCG
RNAcentral lists this ribosomal RNA (497 nucleotides) under uncultured bacterium. RNAcentral's name for it is "bacterial SSU rRNA". It matches the Rfam family "Bacterial small subunit ribosomal RNA", at positions 28 to 517 of the family's 1533-position model. The record is from RNAcentral.